Molecule: long non-coding RNA, 426 nt
Filed under: Arachis ipaensis
Lineage: Eukaryota; Viridiplantae; Streptophyta; Magnoliopsida; Fabales; Fabaceae
Description: long non-coding RNA (AIPA_LNC002600)
Source: RNAcentral
CUUGGCUGACCUGUUCCUGGGGCUGAAUCAAAAGUUUAAAGUUUAAAACCCGAGAUCUCGGCGACAUUCAUCAUUGAAGUAAUCAUUGGUCAAGCAAAGAAUGUAAAUGUGAUAACCUUUGCACAUUCUAUAUUUUCUCCAAGGGAUGAUGCAUCGAUUACCAUGUCCAACUGAUAAAUUAAACAGCACUGAUUUAUCAAAUCCCCAAGACACUGUAUAAAACAAGAAACAUAAUGCAAUACCCUUUGAUUCAUAUGGCAAUCAAACAUUAGUAAUCAAAGUUCUGAUGAGGUACAUCAAAGUCAUAACCCACAGAACUAGACAACAUAUAGGUUAUUCUUUAUCAAUAAUCGCAGAUCAAAACAACUCGAAACUUACAAGAAUGGCAACUCUAAGUUGACAUUGGCACCCUCCAUGGCCUGCANN